RNAcentral lists this ribosomal RNA (492 nucleotides) under uncultured bacterium. Its description in RNAcentral is "partial 16S ribosomal RNA". It matches the Rfam family "Bacterial small subunit ribosomal RNA", at positions 29 to 507 of the family's 1533-position model. The record is from RNAcentral.
AGUGAACGCUGGCGGUAGGCCUAACACAUGCAAGUCGAACGGCAGCACAGUAAGAGCUUGCUCUUACGGGUGGCGAGUGGCGGACGGGUGAGGAAUACAUCGGAAUCUACUUUUUCGUGGGGGAUAACGUAGGGAAACUUACGCUAACACCGCAUACGACCUACGGGUGAAAGCAGGGGAUCUUCGGACCUUGCGCGAUUGAAUGAGCCGAUGUCGGAUUAGCUAGUUGGCGGGGUAAAGGCCCACCAAGGCGACGAUCCGUAGCUGGUCUGAGAGGAUGAUCAGCCACACUGGAACUGAGACACGGUCCAGACUCCUACGGGAGGCAGCAGUGGGGAAUAUUGGACAAUGGGCGCAAGCCUGAUCCAGCCAUACCGCGUGGGUGAAGAAGGCCUUCGGGUUGUAAAGCCCUUUUGUUGGGAAAGAAAAGCAGCAGGUUAAUACCCCGCUGUUCUGACGGUACCCAAAUAAUAAGCACCGGCUAACUUCGUG